Molecule: ribosomal RNA, 408 nt
Filed under: uncultured bacterium
Lineage: Bacteria
Description: partial 16S ribosomal RNA
Rfam family: Bacterial small subunit ribosomal RNA
Source: RNAcentral
UGGGGAAUAUUGCACAAUGGGCGAAAGCCUGAUGCAGCGACGCCGCGUGAGGGAUGACGGCCUUCGGGUUGUAAACCUCUUUCAGCAGGGAAGAAGCCACAAGUGACGGUACCUGCAGAAGAAGCGCCGGCUAACUACGUGCCAGCAGCCGCGGUCAUACGUAGGGCGCAAGCGUUGUCCGGAAUUAUUGGGCGUAAAGAGCUCGUAGGCGGUUUGUCGCGUCUGCUGUGAAAGCCCGGGGCUUAACCCCGGGUGUGCAGUGGGUACGGGCAGACUAGAGUGCAGUAGGGGAGACUGGAAUUCCUGGUGUAGCGGUGGAAUGCGCAGAUAUCAGGAGGAACACCGAUGGCGAAGGCAGGUCUCUGGGCUGUUACUGACGCUGAGGAGCGAAAGCAUGGGGAGCGAACA